RNAcentral lists this ribosomal RNA (484 nucleotides) under uncultured bacterium. RNAcentral describes it as "partial 16S ribosomal RNA". It matches the Rfam family "Bacterial small subunit ribosomal RNA", at positions 30 to 507 of the family's 1533-position model. The record is from RNAcentral.
AUUGAACGCUAGCGGGAUGCUUUACACAUGCAAGUCGAACGGCAGCGCGGACUUCGGUCUGGCGGCGAGUGGCGAACGGGUGAGUAAUGUAUCGGAACGUGCCCAGUAGCGGGGGAUAACUACGCGAAAGCGUAGCUAAUACCGCAUACGCCCUACGGGUGAAAGCAGGGGAUCGUAAGACCUUGCACUAUUGGAGCGGCCGAUAUCGGAUUAGCUAGUUGGUGAGGUAACGGCUCACCAAGGCGACGAUCCGUAGCUGGUUUGAGAGGACGACCAGCCACACUGGGACUGAGACACGGCCCAGACUCCUACGGGAGGCAGCAGUGGGGAAUUUUGGACAAUGGGGGCAACCCUGAUCCAGCCAUCCCGCGUGUGCGAUGAAGGCCUUCGGGUUGUAAAGCACUUUUGGCAGGAAAGAAACGUCGCGGGCUAAUACCCCGUGGAACUGACGGUACCUGAAGAAUAAGCACCGGCUAACUACGUG